AUUUCUUUCAAUUUCUGAGCUGAGAUGGUUAAGCUUGAGCUUGAGAAACCACCUCUGGUUGCUACUCCUCAGAACAUUAAGAACUUCGCGUAAUUUAUAUUGGCCGAGCUCGCUUUCUGGGAAGGUGUCGAGAAUGAUUUCGGACACAUACCAGACAGAAUCAAGACAAUAUUCAAUUUACUAGGCUAUACAGGUAACUUGAGUAUAGCAUCAUUAAAGGCACAUAUGCUGGAUGACAUUGAAAAGGAUGUGCAACUACUCGUCCAAAAUGGAUUAGACAAAUUCCUUGUUGAUUUCCGUCUCAUGCACGCGGAUAGAGUCCAGCUAAUAUGUUUAUUUGAUUUUUUCUCGAAAAGUGUAAAAAAUACGUCAAUUCCAAAAUUCGCAGAGAUGCAACAUUACGGAUGUGGAUUGUGAACAGGAAAAAAAAAGUUUGGAGGACAAAAUUAGUUAUCAGUUCGAAAUAUACUUACCGUUCUCCAAUAAAUGCUGGAAAAAUUGUCACUGAUUCUCCAUUGCUGGAGCUGUACUCAAGUCUACAGCAAUCAAAGAUAUAUCGUUCUAAAGGUAUGCGUUAUUCAACGUUUGAAAAGGAUUUGCUAGCAUAUGAGUUCAGGAAAACUGGAAACAGUUUUUACAAAUACCGAGCAUCAAAUAAGCAUUCCGCAAGCCAUUCAGUUUUGCACAAACACAUUAGGAAUAAUACAACCGAUACAACAGAAUGAAUGCUAUUAAUUGAGCCGCUUCGAAAAUAUCUACAGUCUCAGGAUUUACCUUUUGUGGUAAGCCUAAGCAAAGAUGCAACUAGUAUUGUUCUAAAACCAGGAUAUGAUCUUCGUACAGAUUCUCUCUCCGGUUUGGUGCCGCUUUUUGAUAAUAAUGGUAUGCCCAUAAUGAAUCAAUUUCGAAUGAAGUCUGCGCAGCACAUGUUACACGUUUUGAAAAACUUUGCUGUAGGAACACUGACAUAUAUGAUUCUCGCUACUCCUAUGCAGCUCCAUUUUGUAUUUGAUACGCCUGUGCGGAUACUAAUUUCGAUCAUGAAGUGGUUCUUAAACGAUGGAAGUAUGUUGAAAAUAAAUUAAUGGAAGUUGGAUUUAAGGUUAUAAGCAACUGUUCUGACGGUGAUCCUAAGUUUUUGAAGGCGAUGAUUAAACGUACUAAUUCAAGUGAACCCAAGCCAAAUAUGCGAUGAGGAUAUUGGUUUCGAAUGGAAGAAAACAGUUUACCAGUAUGUAUACAGGACACAAUUCAUCUGGUGAAUAAAUGUCGGCACAGUUUAAUUAAUCCUGCUAAACAACUUCGUAUUAGUGAAAUCACAGAAUUCACAUAAGUAAAUGAUGAAAUUAAGUUAUCUUUCCUCUAACAGGUAAUUACACCAUCGCAAUAGUUCGAGAGUUAUUAGGUCGAGUUGGGAAAGAUAAACAUUUAUUAACGAAGAGUGACUUAAACAGUGGCGACAAAAUGCGGUUUGAACCAACUCUUAAAAUCAUGAAUGCUAUGGUCAGAACUCUGCUAGACCAACACCAACACGCCACGUAGGUAGUUUCCCUGGUAGAAAAGGUGCAAUUCUUCUGUUGGAUAUAAUGAAUAAAAUUAACAUCGCUUAUACUUCUACUGA
This is an RNA transcript of Malaya genurostris, 1621 nucleotides long. RefSeq lists it as uncharacterized. The record is from RefSeq and is a predicted model, not a curated record. Lineage: Eukaryota; Metazoa; Arthropoda; Insecta; Diptera; Culicidae. The transcript is spliced from 3 exons.